GUGCCAGCAGCCGCGGUAAUACGAAGGGGGCUAGCGUUGCUCGGAAUCACUGGGCGUAAAGCGCACGUAGGCGGAUUGUUAAGUCAGGGGUGAAAGCCUGGAGCUCAACUCCAGAACUGCCCUUGAUACUGGCAAUCUCGAGUCCGGAAGAGGUAAGUGGAACUCCGAGUGUAGAGGUGAAAUUCGUAGAUAUUCGGAAGAACACCAGUGGCGAAGGCGGCUUACUGGUCCGGUACUGACGCUGAGGUGCGAAAGCGUGGGGAGCAAACAGGAUUAGAAACCCUGGUAGUCC
This 292-nucleotide ribosomal RNA is filed under the name uncultured bacterium. RNAcentral's name for it is "partial 16S ribosomal RNA". It matches the Rfam family "Bacterial small subunit ribosomal RNA", at positions 505 to 796 of the family's 1533-position model. The record is from RNAcentral.